UGGGCAACCUGCCGUAUACAGGGGAAUAAUCAUUGGAAACGAUGACUAAUACCGCAUGUCACCAUUGGGAGGCAUCUCGCGAUGGGAAAAGGAGGAAUCCGGUAUACGAUGGGCCGCAUCUGAUUAGCUAGUUGGUGAGAUAAUAGCUCACCAAGGCGACGAUCAGUAGCCGACCUGAGAGGGUGAUCGGCCACAUUGGGACUGAGACACGGCCCAAACUCCUACGGAAGGCAGCAG
RNAcentral lists this ribosomal RNA (237 nucleotides) under uncultured bacterium. RNAcentral describes it as "partial 16S ribosomal RNA". It matches the Rfam family "Bacterial small subunit ribosomal RNA", at positions 118 to 354 of the family's 1533-position model. The record is from RNAcentral.